UACAGAGGUCUCAAGCGUUGUUCGGAUUCAUUAGGCGUAAAGGGUGCGUAGGUGGCGAUGUAAGUCUGGUGUGAAAUCUCGGGGCUUAACCUCGAAAUUGCAUUGGAUACUGCGUUGCUCGAGGACUGUAGAGGAGAGUGGAAUUCACGGUGUAGCAGUGAAAUGCGUAGAUAUCGUGAGGAAGACCAGUUGCGAAGGCGACUCUCUGGGCAGUUCCUGACACUGAGGCACGAAGGCCAGGGGAGCAAACGGG
This 253-nucleotide ribosomal RNA is filed under the name uncultured bacterium. RNAcentral describes it as "partial 16S ribosomal RNA". It matches the Rfam family "Bacterial small subunit ribosomal RNA", at positions 524 to 776 of the family's 1533-position model. The record is from RNAcentral.